AGUGAACGCUGGCGGUAGGCCUAACACAUGCAAGUCGAACGGCAGCACCGUAAGAGCUUGCUCUUACGGGUGGCGAGUGGCGGACGGGUGAGGAAUACAUCGGAAUCUACUUUUUCGUGGGGGAUAACGUAGGGAAACUUACGCUAAUACCGCAUACGACCUACGGGUGAAAGCAGGGGAUCUUCGGACCUUGCGCGAUUGAAUGAGCCGAUGUCGGAUUCGCUAGUUGGCGGGGUAAAGGCCCACCAAGGCGACGCUCCGUAGCUGGUCUGAGAGGAUGAUCAGCCACACUGGAACUGAGACACGGUCCAGACUCCUACGGGAGGCAGCAGUGGGGAAUAUUGGACAAUGGGCGCAAGCCUGAUCCAGCCAUACCGCGUGGGUGAAGAAGGCCUUCGGGUUGUAAAGCCCUUUUGUUGGGAAAGAAAAGCAGCAGGUUAAUACCCCGCUGUUCUGACGGUACCCAAAGAAUAAGCACCGGCUAACUUCGUG
This 492-nucleotide ribosomal RNA is filed under the name uncultured bacterium. Its description in RNAcentral is "partial 16S ribosomal RNA". It matches the Rfam family "Bacterial small subunit ribosomal RNA", at positions 29 to 507 of the family's 1533-position model. The record is from RNAcentral.